RNAcentral lists this ribosomal RNA (330 nucleotides) under uncultured bacterium. Its description in RNAcentral is "bacterial SSU rRNA". It matches the Rfam family "Bacterial small subunit ribosomal RNA", at positions 568 to 898 of the family's 1533-position model. The record is from RNAcentral.
UCCGUAGGCGGUGCGGCAAGUCGGAAGUGAAAUCUCAGGGCUUAACCCUGAGGCUGCUUCCGAAACUGCCGUGCUCGAGUGCGAGAGAGGCGAGUGGAAUUGCAGGUGUAGCGGUGAAAUGCGUAGAUAUCUGCAGAAACAUCCGAGGCGAAAGCGGCUCGCUGGAUCGCAACUGACGCUGAGGGACGAAAGCUAGGGGAGCAAACAGGAUUAGAUACCCUGGUAGUCCUAGCCCUAAACGAUCAGGACUGGGCGUGGGCCUCGUACGGGGCUCGUGCCGCAGCUAACGCGUUAAGUCCUGCGCCUGGGGAGUACGGUCGCAAGGCUGAA